GUCUGCAGGGUAAUGGACUAAUGGCUUCCAUGUAUGAUGAGAUGGGACCUUUGAGGGCACUCCCCAUCGAGGAGGGAACAAAGGCCAUGACCCCUGGGUCAAAAGCGUUACAUGGGAGGCCAAGCGAGCUCAUUGAAUGCUCCACUGUUGUUUGCUUUAAGAAGGAUUCUGAAAGGAGAGGAGGAAGAGAGAAACAGAGAGAAAAGAGCAAAGGAGAGCUUCUCCUGGGAACAAGCUGGAAAUUAUGGACCUAUUCGAUAUCAGACCUCAGAGUGGACAACCUAUCCUAAGAGGGACGCGCCCUAACUGUAACUAACAACUACUUCUGGCAGCCCUUCAACAACCAGACAUAUUGUCCUGGAUCAGGGCCGUUUUCGAAAAGGCAGCAAUGAGCAAGGGCAGCCUAGGCAAGAAAUCAACAUCGACCUUCAGCCUCAUUAAUAUCAAUUAAUACUUUUUUUCUCUAAUAAAAAUACAGAAUUUUAAACUAUGAUCCCAAUGAGACGUUAAUUAUCAAAUGUAGCAUGUUAAGGUGAUACAUGCUAUAAAAAAGAAGGAUUUCCACACUAAAGUGGGGCAGCAUUAAGGGGUCAACACAGCACUUUAAAAAAAAUUUUUUUUUUUAAAUAUAUAAUGCGUGAGUUAAUUAUUUCACCUACUGUUUUAGUACUGAUAUAUUAAAAGCUCAAAAUCCAACACAAAUGCAAUGUUGCGUUACUUUGUACUGUGUAGGUCUGAAGAUCUGCAUUUAAAGUGUGAAUGCAACAAAACUGCCUUAUGGUGGAAACGAGCACAAGCAGGGUUUGAAUGAGUGUAACAAUGUAAUAAAUAUUCAAUUAAAAAAUAUUUUUGACUGAGUAUAA
Long non-coding RNA from Astatotilapia calliptera (eastern happy), 863 nucleotides. Lineage: Eukaryota; Metazoa; Chordata; Actinopteri; Cichliformes; Cichlidae. The record is from Ensembl.